Molecule: long non-coding RNA, 294 nt
Organism: Dromaius novaehollandiae (emu)
Lineage: Eukaryota; Metazoa; Chordata; Aves; Casuariiformes; Dromaiidae
Exons: 3
Source: RefSeq, a predicted model, not a curated record
AGGUGUAUCUUGAUUCAACAGUCUUGAAUGUGGAGGGAUGGGAGGAAGAUCUCUGAAGAUUUAUGAGCCUACCGUGGUGAGAAGAUAUAAUGGAGAUAUUUCUGAUGAUGAUUUAUGGAGUCAACCAGCAUCAAUCUAGAACAACUGAUACCUUUCCAGCACAGGGCUAUAUAGGGUUUCAAUAUCCCAGUGAAGAGAUCUCCAGUGUUUAGAGUUGGGCAAGAUCUACUGUGUCAUCUCAAUAUCUUACUUCAGUACCUAGGAGCACCAGACUGCAACUCAUCACCUCCCAAU